This 487-nucleotide ribosomal RNA is filed under the name uncultured bacterium. RNAcentral describes it as "bacterial SSU rRNA". It matches the Rfam family "Bacterial small subunit ribosomal RNA", at positions 28 to 518 of the family's 1533-position model. The record is from RNAcentral.
GACGAACGCUGGCGGCGUGCCUAACACAUGCAAGUCGAGCGGAGACAGAUUUGAGCUUGCUUAGAUCUGUUUUAGCGGCGGACGGGUGAGUAACGCGUGAGCAACCUUUCUCUCAGUGGGGAAUAACACAGGGAAACUUGUACUAAUACCGCAUGAGACCACAAUGUCGCAUGGCAAAGGGGUCAAAGAUUAAUCGCUGAGAGGUGGGCUCGCGUCUGAUUAGAUAGUUGGUGGGGUAACGGCCUACCAAGUCGACGAUCAGUAGCCGACCUGAGAGGGUGAUCGGCCACAUUGGGACUGAGACACGGCCCAAACUCCUACGGGAGGCAGCAGUGGGGAAUAUUGGGGCAAUGGGGGGGAACCCUGACCCAGCAACGCCGCGUGGAGGAAGAAGGGCCCUUCGGGUUGUAAACGUUCUUUUACCAGGGACGAAGAACGUGACGGUACCUGGAGAAAAGACAACGGCUAACUACGUGCCAGCAGCCGC